Molecule: ribosomal RNA, 487 nt
Filed under: uncultured Turicibacter sp.
Lineage: Bacteria; Bacillati; Bacillota; Erysipelotrichia; Erysipelotrichales; Turicibacteraceae
Description: partial 16S ribosomal RNA
Source: RNAcentral
CACGUAGUUAGCCGUGGCUUUCUCGUAAGGUACCGUCAAUUGAUAGUCAUUUCCUCCUAUCACCUUUCUUCCCUUAUAACAGAAUUUUACAACCCGAAGGCCUUCUUCAUUCACGCGGCGUUGCUCGGUCAGGCUUUCGCCCAUUGCCGAAGAUUCCCUACUGCUGCCUCCCGUAGGAGUCUGGGCCGUGUCUCAGUCCCAGUGUGGCCGUUCACCCUCUCAGGUCGGCUACGCAUCGUCGCCUUGGUAGGCCUUUACCCCACCAACUAGCUAAUGCGCCGCAGGCUCAUCCAUCAGUGAUGCCAGGAGCAUCUUUAAACUUUCGUCCUAUCCGGUAUUAGCGAUCGUUUCCAAUCGUUGUCCCCGUCUGAUGGGCAGAUUACCUACGUGUUACUCACCCGUUCGCCGCUUCCCACCGAAGUGGUUCGCUCGACUUGCAUGUAUUAGGCACGCCGCCAGCGUUCAUCCUGAGCCAGGAUCAAACUCU